This is a long non-coding RNA of Acinonyx jubatus (cheetah), 1247 nucleotides long. RefSeq lists it as uncharacterized. Lineage: Eukaryota; Metazoa; Chordata; Mammalia; Carnivora; Felidae. The transcript has 3 exons. The record is from RefSeq and is a predicted model, not a curated record.
GGAUGAACUCAGCAACAGCUUCCUGUGCCGGAUUCAGCAAGAGUCCCCAGCCCCGACAGGGUGCCUGCAUGUGCCAGAGGCUCUGGGCUCUAGUGGGUGAACAAGACCGUCGAGAGCCCUGGCCCCGUGGACAUUAGGGGCUGCGCACUGAGAAGGAAACUAAAAUGCCCCGCCGGCCCCUCCUGACUUCCAGAGCUCUGAGCAAGGGUCCCUUUGCCAGUGUGGAACCACAGUCUGUCGUGGGUUCACCGGCCAUGUCGCUGAAGGUCUGUCUGUCACUAGCAGAUGCAGAGUCACGAGAUUCGAUUUAUACGUCACCAAAGUAAAAACCUUCAAGACACACCAUUACAGAAAUUAACGGACAAGCCACAGACUAGAAGAACUCAUUUGCGAAUCAUGUAUCUGAGAAAGGACUGAAUACAGAAAGACGCCUUAAGACUCAAUAAUAAGGAGGCAAGUAACUCAAUUAAAAACUUAAGUUUAAGGGGCGCCCGGGUGGCUCAGUUGGUUGAGCCUCUGACUCUUGAUUUCAGCUCAGGUCAUGAUCCCAGGGUCGUGGGAUCGAGCCCUGAAUUGGGCUCCGCACUGAGCGUGGAUCCUGUUUGGGAUUCUCUCUCUCUCCUUCUCCCUCUCUCUUUCUCCCUCUGCCCCUCCCCUGCUCAUGUUCUCUCUCUCUCUAAAAAAAAAAAAAAGAAAGACACUUAAAUUUAAGUUACAAAAUUACAUUCAAAACAGAUCUGAAUAGGGGCGCCUGGGGGGCUCAGUCGGUUAAGCGUCCGACUUCGGCUCAGGUCACGAUCUCGCGGUCCGUGAGUUCGAGCCCCGCGUCGGGCUCUGGGCUGAUGGCUCGGAGCCUGGAGCCUGCUUCCGAUUCUGUGUCUCCCUCUCUCUCUGCCCCUCCCCCGUUCACGCUCUCUCUCUGUCCCAAAAAUAAAUAAACGUUAAAAAAAAAACAAAAAAACAAAAAAACAGAUCUGAAUAGACAGGACACCAGAGAUGUACGCGGGGGCAGGGAGCACGAGAGAAACAGAACGCUCAGGGUCCUUAGUCCUCAGGGAAAUGCAAAUGAAUGCCACAGCGAGGUGCCACCUCACAUGCAUCAGGGUGGCCUUCAGAGUAAUAAAGGGACCCAGCACAUGUUGGGGAGGCUGUGGGGAGGCUCUGCCAUCGCUGCUGGGAAUGUAAACUGACGCGGCCACUCUGGAAAGCAGCCGAGAAGAGUCUUCAAAGGCUAAACAUACCAUGAU